Molecule: ribosomal RNA, 323 nt
Filed under: uncultured bacterium
Lineage: Bacteria
Description: bacterial SSU rRNA
Rfam family: Bacterial small subunit ribosomal RNA
Source: RNAcentral
GACGAACGCUGGCGGCGUGCUUAACACAUGCAAGUCGAACGGGAAUUACUUUAUUGAAACUUCGGUCGAUUUAAUUUAAUUCUAGUGGCGGACGGGUGAGUAACGCGUGGGUAACCUGCCUUAUACAGGGGGAUAACAGUCAGAAAUGACUGCUAAUACCGCAUAAGCGCACGGAACCGCAUGGUUCUGUGUGAAAAACUCCGGUGGUAUAAGAUGGACCCGCGUUGGAUUAGCUUGUUGGUGAGGUAACGGCUCACCAAGGCGACGAUUCAUAGCCGGCCUGAGAGGGUGAACGGCCACAUUGGGACUGAGACACGGCCCAG